GGUGAACGCUGGCGGCGUGCCUAAGACAUGCAAGUCGAGCGGGGCAGGUUUAUCCCUGUUCAGCGGCGGACGGGUGAGUAACGCGUGGGUGACCUACCCGGAAGAGGCGGACAACCUGGGGAAACCCAGGCUAAUCCGCCAUGUGGUCCUGUCCUGUGGGGCAGGACUAAAGGGUGGAUAGCCCGCUUCCGGAUGGGCCCGCGUCCCAUCAGCUAGUUGGUGGGGUAAAGGCCCACCAAGGCGACGACGGGUAGCCGGUCUGAGGGGAUGGCCGGCCACAAGGGGACCUGGGAACUGGGCCCACGCCCAGGGGAGGCAGGCAGGAAGGAGUCUCCGAAAUUGGACGAAGGCCGGACGAGUGACGCCGCUUUGAGGAGGAAGCCCUGCGGGGUGUAAACUCCUGAACUGGGGACGAAAGCCCUGUGUAGGGGGAGGACGGUACCCAGGUAAUAGCGCCGGCCAACUCCGUG
This 470-nucleotide ribosomal RNA is filed under the name uncultured bacterium. RNAcentral describes it as "partial 16S ribosomal RNA". It matches the Rfam family "Bacterial small subunit ribosomal RNA", at positions 28 to 507 of the family's 1533-position model. The record is from RNAcentral.